This is a long non-coding RNA of Canis lupus familiaris (dog), 1661 nucleotides long. RefSeq lists it as uncharacterized. The record is from RefSeq and is a predicted model, not a curated record. Lineage: Eukaryota; Metazoa; Chordata; Mammalia; Carnivora; Canidae. The transcript has 5 exons.
GAUGUGCUCAGGCCAUCAGCUGCCCAGAGGAUGGAGAGUCAGUCAGAGGCACAGGUACGAUCCAUGGUAGUAGCCUCAGUGGAGCCUGACUCUGGCCUACAAGGCCCACCUGAAGCAUCAAGUCCUCACGGUGAGCACCUCAUGCUGCUUCCCAUCAAAACUCACUCUCUGAGUUUAGUAUUUCCUCACCUCCGUCUUCCAAGUUUUGCAGUUUGUGUUUGAAGCUAGUACUCUUCAUCAAUGACUCUUGGUCUACAGUCUAAAAAAAAAAAGGCCAUAAAGUGGCAGCCACGCUAAGAAGUGGUCCGUCACCUGCUUACUGACUGCUAUCACGCGCCUGGCAAUGUGCACAGCUGCAGAAAGAUAAAGAAAAUCAGGUACCUGUUUUCUGAACAGAAUCUUCAGGAGAAUCUCCAGAAACUUCUGGAGGCAUGGAGUUACUCUGCUUGGAGGAGCCCAGUGAAUGGGAAAUAUCCCAUCCUGCCGACAAGGUUCUCUUACAAUCAAUUUCCAGAGAUUCUCUGCCAGACAACAACUGGUAAUUUAAAAUAAAGCAACCUUUGUUGAGACCUUCUCUAGGUGUGGUAAUGUGACAGAGUGGUAUUUCCUGCCUGGCUUUUCCUUAAAAUCAACAGGGAGAGCUUAACAAGAAAGGUAUUCCCACUAAUUCGUGAAUAUUGAGCAAUUUUUCAUAUACCUGUAGGUCUUUGGAGAAAUGUCUAUUCAAGUCCUUCACUUGGUUUUUAAAAUCUGGCUGAUUUUUUGGCUGUUGAGUUGUAGGAGUUCCUUAGAUACUUUGGACAUUCACUUAUUACUAUAUGGUAGGACAGUAUUUUUUAAAAGCCCCCAAAGAUAACAAGUGUUCGUGAAAAUGUGGAGAAAUUAGCACGCUUACACAUUGUUUAUAGAAAUAUCAAAUGGUAUAGCCACCAUGGAAAAAAAUUGCUCAAAAAGAAAUUAAAAAGUAGAACUAUCAAAUUAUGCAGCAUCCCACUUCACUUCUGGGUAUAUAUCCAAAAGAAGCAUUUUUACAACAGCCAAAUUAUGGAAACCAUUUAAAUAUCCAUCAAUGCCAAAUACAGCAUGAUUCUACUUAUAGGAGAGAUCUAAAAUAGUCAAACAUUGGAAAUGGAAAGGUGAGUAAAAGAGGCUGGAGAGAGAAAUAUAGAGUUGUUCAACAUGUAUAAAGUUGUUGUUCAACAUUUGCAAGAUGCAAGAUGAGUAAGUUUUAGAGAUCCAUUGUUUAACAUUGUGCCUACAGUUGACAAUACCAUGUUUGGCACUUAAAAAUGUGUUAAGAUGAUAGAACUCAUGUUAAGUGUUCUUGCCAUAAUGAAAAACAAAAACAAAAAUAAAUGAAAAGUUAAUGCACCCAUAUAUGUGGGCAACCACUUAUCUACUUUGUCUCUAUGAAUUAGUUUGGAUUUUCUAGUAUUUUAUAUGAAUGGAAUCAUAUAACAUGUACUCCUGUUUUUUUGUCAGGCUUCUUUCAUUUGGAGAUAAUUUCGUGUUGUAUAUAUCAGUUGUUAAUUCGUUUUCAUUUUUGAGUAAUAGUCCAUCAUAUGGAUAUACCAAAAUCUGUUUAUGUGCUCAUCUACUGAUGGACAUUUGGGUUGUUUCCAGUUUGGGAUAAUUACAAAUAAAGCUGUUAUAAACAUUCA